Molecule: ribosomal RNA, 232 nt
Filed under: uncultured bacterium
Lineage: Bacteria
Description: partial 16S ribosomal RNA
Rfam family: Bacterial small subunit ribosomal RNA
Source: RNAcentral
UGAGGAACAUGACCUUCGGCGGGGGAGUAGCCGGCCCAACGGCCGGGUAAUACCGCGUACGACCACAUGGGGACAUCCCUGAGUGGUGAAAGCAGCAAUGCGCCGAUGGAGUGCCUCGCGGCCUAUCAGCUAGUUGGUGAGGUAACGGCUCACCAAGGCGACGACGGGUAGCUGGUCUGAGAGGAUGGCCAGCCACAUUGGGACUGAGACACGGCCCAGACCUNUACGGGGA